This 314-nucleotide ribosomal RNA is filed under the name Bradybaena straminea. RNAcentral describes it as "partial 16S ribosomal RNA". It matches the Rfam family "Archaeal large subunit ribosomal RNA", at positions 2019 to 2637 of the family's 2987-position model. The record is from RNAcentral. Lineage: Eukaryota; Metazoa; Mollusca; Gastropoda; Stylommatophora; Camaenidae.
CUGACUGUGCAAAGGUAGCAUAAUCAGUUGGCUUUUAAUUUAAGUCUGGCAUGAAUGAAAAUAUGGGUAGUAACUGUCUUAACACAUUUAUUUGAAAUUAUUAAACAAGUGCAAAUACUUGUAGUAAAACAACAGACGAGAAGACCCUAGAAACUUGCGUUCAGUUUUGUUGGGGCGACAGAGUUACAUUUAACUAACUUUAUAAUACAUGGCAUGAGGUUGUAAGAAUAAGUUACUCUAGGGAUAACAGCAUAAUUUUACUAGUUUGUGACCUCGAUGUUGGACUAGGUACUAUACCCUUAAGACAGGGGUAU